RNAcentral lists this transfer RNA (74 nucleotides) under Caudoviricetes sp. RNAcentral's name for it is "tRNA-Gly". It matches the Rfam family "tRNA". From Rfam's summary of the family: Transfer RNA (tRNA) molecules are approximately 80 nucleotides in length. Their secondary structure includes four short double-helical elements and three loops (D, anti-codon, and T loops). Further hydrogen bonds mediate the characteristic L-shaped molecular structure. tRNAs have two regions of fundamental functional importance: the anti-codon, which is responsible for specific mRNA codon recognition, and the 3' end, to which the tRNAs corresponding amino acid is attached (by aminoacyl-tRNA synthetases). tRNAs cope with the degeneracy of the genetic code in two manners: having more than one tRNA (with a specific anti-codon) for a particular amino acid; and 'wobble' base-pairing, i.e. permitting non-standard base-pairing at the 3rd anti-codon position. The record is from RNAcentral. Lineage: Duplodnaviria; Heunggongvirae; Uroviricota; Caudoviricetes.
GUGACAGUAGUUUAACAGGAAAAACUUCGUGAUUCCGACCCGAAAGUUGCGAGUUCAAAUCUCGUCUGUCACUA